UGCAACAGCUCCACUGAGCCUGGAGGCAGAAACAGGCCCCAGUACAGCCAUAUUACCCCAGAACCAAGAUCUAUUCUGGAGAAGUCGGGGACAGGGCCCCGUGAACGAGGAUUAUAUAGACUUAGCAGUUCUGUUACAGCACCCUCUAGAAGUGGUGAGAGUAGAAAGGUUUAGAUAGUAAGGGCAGCUAAGGCCCCAACUAGAAGACAGACGGGAGUAUUUCUUCCACUAGGCAAUGUUGCCUUAGCUUAGGGCCACGGACUAGUGACAGGAUACAGGCAGGAUAACCCCUGAUCUAUGCCCAGCCGUAGGACCCACAAGAGUUAAAGGUUAUCAACCUGGGGAUUGACUUCACUAUCCGAUCUGCCUUCCAAAGUGGUGCCCAGCUGACAGGUGCUUUACCCAGCCCAGACUCCAAAAGAGGUGGGAUGAACCGGUGGUACCCUCCUUUGCUAUCCUAAGUGGGUUCUGCUAUUUCUAUCUUGUUCAUGUGAGUACGGAUCCUCUGUGAAGUGAUAUCACCUGUGUUGGAUGAAUAAACCCUUGUAUUAUAGUUCA
This is a long non-coding RNA of Xenopus tropicalis (tropical clawed frog), 558 nucleotides long. RefSeq lists it as uncharacterized. The record is from RefSeq and is a predicted model, not a curated record. NCBI's taxonomy places the organism in Eukaryota, Metazoa, Chordata, Amphibia, Anura, Pipidae. The transcript has 2 exons.